UAUGAUAGAGGCGCAGUAUUUAUCAGUACGAUGCUAAUUUAAGCAGGCACUUUGCAUCGGAAAGGAAAUAUUGCCGAAGCAGACGUUUAUUUUGCCUGAGGUGCGUUUGCUGGGCCGGUAUAAAAUAUGUAUCGGACUGUCACAAGUCGUGGAGAGCUAUCUU
RNAcentral lists this non-coding RNA (163 nucleotides) under human gut metagenome. RNAcentral's name for it is "Lysine riboswitch". It matches the Rfam family "Lysine riboswitch aptamer". Rfam says of the family: Riboswitches are metabolite binding domains within certain messenger RNAs that serve as precision sensors for their corresponding targets. Allosteric rearrangement of mRNA structure is mediated by ligand binding, and this results in modulation of gene expression. The record is from RNAcentral.